Molecule: long non-coding RNA, 718 nt
Organism: Rhea pennata
Lineage: Eukaryota; Metazoa; Chordata; Aves; Rheiformes; Rheidae
Exons: 3
Source: RefSeq, a predicted model, not a curated record
CUCCUCUCCGGUUUUCCUGCCGCAGCCCGAGCAGGGCUUUCAUGGCCAGUGAUUUGUCAGUGCUGCAGAUGCGGGACAGUUUGCGCAAUGAGGGGAAGGGCGUGGAAGUUGCUACAGGGAGAGCUGGCUUUGAAUCGCUGAAUCGGCAACCAGGAUCUGUGAAAGUCUUGGGAUGCCUGAGAUAUUAAUUGACAAAUUGAAUCUUCUGCUGCUAUUAUUAAACGAAGUCUUCCCAUGAAAUAAUUCAGCGAUGGAGGAAAAGUGAAGCUGAUUUUAAAAGCCUGAUGCUGAAAAAUGGAGAACCGGAUACUCCACCACACUGUCUUUUGCAGUGAGUCGAGCCGAGCUGUGGAAGCUAAGAAUUAGUAUCUGUAGCAUAAAAUUUGGAGUCCAUCAGCAAAGAAAGUCUCUGCUUUCUGAAAGGGAGAUCAAUUUUGACAUCUUGAUUAUAAGUCAGAGGAAAGGUUGGUGCUGGACUAGUGAUCUUUGAAGAUUAUUAUUACAUUGCCAUUAUUCAUUAAUGACUACAAAAGAAACAAGCUCUAAAUGGUAAUGAUAAAUUAUAAUCACAGACCUAUGAAGCUGCUAUUAUAUCCCAUUUAUUCUGAAAGAGUUUUUUACUAUUAAUAACAAAAAAAUGGAGUAUUAAUAAGGCUUUGGCCUAGCAUGCCAUGUAUUGCUAUGUAAACACUGCCAAAGAAAAAAAAUCUAGAAAAAU